AACGUUCAACAACGGAUCUCUUGGCUCUCGCAUCGAUGAAGAACGCAGCGAAAUGCGAUAAGUAAUGUGAAUUGCAGAAUUCAGUGAAUCAUCGAAUCUUUGAACGCACCUUGCGCUCUUUGGUAUUCCGAAGAGCAUGCCUGUUUGAGUGUCA
Molecule: ribosomal RNA, 154 nt
Filed under: uncultured fungus
Lineage: Eukaryota; Fungi
Description: partial 5.8S ribosomal RNA
Rfam family: 5.8S ribosomal RNA
About the family: 5.8S ribosomal RNA (5.8S rRNA) is a component of the large subunit of the eukaryotic ribosome. It is transcribed by RNA polymerase I as part of the 45S precursor that also contains 18S and 28S rRNA.
Source: RNAcentral